This 532-nucleotide ribosomal RNA is filed under the name uncultured Arthrobacter sp. RNAcentral's name for it is "bacterial SSU rRNA". It matches the Rfam family "Bacterial small subunit ribosomal RNA", at positions 355 to 897 of the family's 1533-position model. Lineage: Bacteria; Bacillati; Actinomycetota; Actinomycetes; Micrococcales; Micrococcaceae. The record is from RNAcentral.
UGGGGAAUAUUGCACAAUGGGCGCAAGCCUGAUGCAGCGACGCCGCGUGAGGGAUGACGGCCUUCGGGUUGUAAACCUCUUUCAGUAGGGAAGAAGCGAAAGUGACGGUACCUGCAGAAGAAGCGCCGGCUAACUACGUGCCAGCAGCCGCGGUAAUACGUAGGGCGCAAGCGUUAUCCGGAAUUAUUGGGCGUAAAGAGCUCGUAGGCGGUUUGUCGCGUCUGCCGUGAAAGUCCGGGGCUCAACUCCGGAUCUGCGGUGGGUACGGGCAGACUAGAGUGAUGUAGGGGAGACUGGAAUUCCUGGUGUAGCGGUGAAAUGCGCAGAUAUCAGGAGGAACACCGAUGGCGAAGGCAGGUCUCUGGGCAUUAACUGACGCUGAGGAGCGAAAGCACGGGGAGCGAACAGGAUUAGAUACCCUGGUAGUCCAUGCCGUAAACGUUGGGCACUAGGUGUGGGGGACAUUCCACGUUUUCCGCGCCGUAGCUAACGCAUUAAGUGCCCCGCCUGGGGAGUACGGCCGCAAGGCUAA